RNAcentral lists this long non-coding RNA (1623 nucleotides) under Gossypium barbadense (sea-island cotton). RNAcentral's name for it is "long non-coding RNA (GBAR_LNC011960)". The record is from RNAcentral. Lineage: Eukaryota; Viridiplantae; Streptophyta; Magnoliopsida; Malvales; Malvaceae.
GCUGUCUGCACUUGGGCCGUCUUCUCCCAGACGCCUUUCUUUUUCGACGUCCUUCUGAGUACUCUGCCGUAAACUCCCCGAAGUCCAAUAAAGUGGUAGAAACAGCAGUUGCGGCGCUUUACUAAUAACAUAGAAAGGGCUUUUACCUACCUUACUAAUAAAGCUUCUUUUUUACAUAAGGUUAAACGAAAGCGGUUGUUAAUGCUUGUAACUUGCGUGUCUGAGAUCCGUCUUCUGUUUGCGAUUGAAACACCCUCUUAAUUACUUAUUUUUUUAUCUAGGCAGAAUUCUCUGAUAAAAAAGAAGGCAGCUUUUAAGAUAGAGUCUUUUACGGUUACAGAUAUCAACACUUCUGGGGGAAAGGAAUAGCUUUCAAAAGAUGGAUCAAUUGCAGCAGGGACUGGACUGGCUUCACUCGCACUCGACUAAUAAGCAAGGAGGAGACAUUUGCGGAUGCAUGCCCAACCCGAGCUACUAGGCCAGGGCCAUUAGAUCCGCUCUUCGCCUUUACAGCUCUUCCUGAAGGAGGAGCCGUGCCAUCUCUAUCAGCUAGUCAGCUAGCCGCGAAAGGCAAUGAAAUUGUAGAUGCCCAGAGAGGCAUUUUCCUAUUGAAUGGCACAUGGUUCUGCAUUAACAUAACAAGCAAAAAAAAGAAAAAAAGAAAUAUUGUAUCACUUCUUUUCUAUACUGAUUGAAAUUGCGUUACUAUGUCAAAAGAAGGAUAGCUAUACUGAUUCGGUACACUCUAAAGACACCCUCGGUACCACUAUUGAAGAUCUCACAAAGAUUAAAUCUCAGUGAAUUUCCAUUUACUGAUCCUAUCUUUCACAGAAUCAAUCCCCCCUUUUACUGUAUAGUUGCUCAGGCGGCAAAGAGGCAAUUAUACUAAAUAGGAAAUCUGGAACUUUGUUUACUGCACUUUAUCUUAAGAUGGUCUCGCUCCAUCCACAUUUAAUCUCUUAGCGGUUAGCCUAGCUACCCUAGCAGCCAGAGUCUUCCUUUCCCAUGCCCCACUCCUUAGAGCCCAAAAGCAUCGUAGAAUGAUUGUCUAGGGUGCCCACAUAUAUAGAGUCAAAAGAGAUAUGGAGUCCAAAGGGGAGGGGGUUUUUCUUCGGGGCUCGAGAGAUGGAAUAGAUAGGGCCCCACAAGUUUUUAAUUCACCGUUGGGGAAUUCACACGAAAGGGAACGAGGAAUUAUCAACGAAAAAAGUGCUCUCUGAACCGAACGUGAAAGUUGUUUUCCAUCAGACGGCUGUUCCGUAACUCCACUCUCGACUUGCUAACCCUUAAUCUAAAUCUAAGGCUAUAGGUAAGGGACUGCCGGGUGCUGGGUGCUAUGAAGAGACUGCUCUUGCUUUUUGGGCUUGUGAAUGAGAAUGCUUGGUCGAAAGUCGCGAAAAGGAAGGCAACUGCACCCGUACGUGUCUUCCCGUUCCUUCUUACUUUUGUCCUACUCGAGCUUCUCGCAAUCGUCAUAAUAGGAAUAGGAGCGGGUGUCAAAGGAGCAGGCAAUUGCAGAGCCUUCUCUCUUCUCUUGUUAGAAAUAAGAAUCGGCAUAAGGAAAGCUUUAGCAUUUUUAUAAUGGUAGGGGCUGCUGGUACUCGUAAGUCAGUUGGCGAGCCC